Molecule: ribosomal RNA, 497 nt
Filed under: uncultured bacterium
Lineage: Bacteria
Description: partial 16S ribosomal RNA
Rfam family: Bacterial small subunit ribosomal RNA
Source: RNAcentral
GAUGAACGCUGGCGGCGUGCCUAAUACAUGCAAGUCGAGCGAACAGACGAGGAGCUUGCUCCUCUGACGUUAGCGGCGGACGGGUGAGUAACACGUGGAUAACCUACCUAUAAGACUGGGAUAACUUCGGGAAACCGGAGCUAAUACCGGAUAAUAUAUUGAACCGCAUGGUUCAAUAGUUAAAUACGGUUUUUCUGUCACUUAUAGAUGGAUCCGCGCCGCAUUAGCUAGUUGGUAAGGUAACGGCUUACCAAGGCAACGAUGCGUAGCCGACCUGAGAGGGUGAUCGGCCACACGGGAACUGAGACACGGUACAGACUCCUACGGGAGGAAGCAGUAGGGAAUCUUCCGGAAUGGGGGAAAGCCGGACGGUGCAACGCGGCGUGAGUGAUGAAGGUGUUCGGAUCGUAAAACUCUGUUAUUAGGGAAGAACAAAUGUGUAAGUAACUAUGCACGUAUUGACGGUACCUAAUCAGAAAGCCACGGCUAACUACGUG